UAUAAAAAUAAAUUAUAAUAUUUUGAAAGAUAUUUGAUAUUGAUAGAGGCUCGAAAUAAAUAAAUUAUUAUAUGGUAAAUUGCAGGUGAGAUUGUGCCUCACUUGCCUCAUCCGGCGAGCCGCCACUGUUCUCUGGUAAUUACUCGUAAAUCUAAGACGCGAACUCCACAAUACAUGUAAAUAUUGAUGUGAAGUCUGUAUUAGACCACGAGACCUUGUUUUGUGAAAACUUUAAGCUUAAGAAAACAAUAACAAGAAUAUUUUAGAGGGUUCAUGACAAAUGUGACCCCCCGAAUCUGCCAUUGGUUGAUAAAUUCAGCAUGGAGAAUUUUAACAACGUGACAACAACUCUCAAGGAUAACUUAAUACUUUUAUAAUUGUGUAUUGAAUAUAUCAUUAUUUUUGGAUUUUACAUAUCAAGUUCACAAUAAUACCGAGUAUACAAACUAUUUGGCUUAAUAUAUAAUGAUAAAAUGCAUAUUUUAAAAACUAAUGACUACAUUGCGAUACGGAAGACAAGGGGAGACUACCUUAUUAACUAUCCCAAGAAAUAAAAAUGACACGGCUCCGUUCGGAUAUUCGAGUCAUAACUAUUGAAAAAGGAAGAAGCGUUAAAAAUUGCUACAAACCAAUAUCAAAAUUGAAUACAAAAAAAAGUAGGAAAAUAUGUCAUGGAAAGCUUUUAUCUUGAUUAUUAAAAUAAAAACUCUAUAACUAAUAGGACUUUAUUGCUUGUUCUAUCGGCUUUUAUUAAAGCACAUAUGGACAGAGAUUUUAUUUAACAUUAACCAGAUAAAUCAAACAAAAAUACAAUUAUUUCGGUGCACUAAAAUAACCGAGGAACAAGGAAUACGUCCGUGAAGUUUAAAAGUUAUUGAUUACUUUCUAUAAGAGUGCGUAAAUCAUGUUUCAGAAGUAAUUAUUUUUCAUAGAAACUGAUGUAGCAUGACAUAAAAUGUAGAUAUUAUUUUAACAUGAAAGGAAAUCGAUAAUAUUUUAACAUAACCAAUAUGAUGUAAGCGUAAUAUCUGGUACGUUUUAAGAGCCUAAAAGAAAACAUUCUUCAUAAUAUAAAUAAUAUUUUACUUUUCCCGUUUAGUAAUCAAGAACUUUUUUUUUCAAAAGACUAAAAUUUUAAUUAAUCAAUAAGAACGGCAUUCGGCAAUCCAGUACACUUUUUUUUAAGACGAAUUAAAAUGAUUCAACCUUAUUAAUUAUUACUGACAAUAUUGUGAGUUAUUAUGCCAGAGAAAAAAUUAAAAAUAUAUAUAUAACAAUCAUUGUUCAUUAUGUCUGUUAUAGAAAUCCGACAGAAUGACUUAAAUAGUAAUUACCAUUUACACUUCGGUUUCAUUGUCCACAAACAGGUUAAUCAUUAUGUUUCUUUUCUGUAAAAUAAGCCAAUAUUGAUAUAAAUCUACCUAAUUUUCAUACAACAGUAUUGCACAUACUAAUGCAGAUAUUUUAAAUGCUAAAAUAAACGUUAGAUCGUGUUAAGAUAUUUCAAUUGGUUAAUACUACUCUUAAAGCAACACUUUUUUACU
Molecule: long non-coding RNA, 1544 nt
Organism: Daktulosphaira vitifoliae (grape phylloxera)
Lineage: Eukaryota; Metazoa; Arthropoda; Insecta; Hemiptera; Phylloxeridae
Exons: 3
Source: RefSeq, a predicted model, not a curated record